CCGAAACAUAGAACAACAGCAACUUUUACCCCAUCUACUUGGCGCCGUGUUAGGCUGUUAGCAGUGGGCGCGCACUUCAGAGUCCGGCGAAACCCGAAACCUCGCGUUCAUCUUCAUUCUCAUUUCCGAGCGCCGGAAAAUUUUGAGGUCAAUUUUUUUAGAGCAUCAGCGCUGCCUCUAAACACCACCUCUGCAAUCGAAAUCCUUCUCCUACCCUAUCUCUUGUUUCAAAUUACUCAGCUAAGACCACCAAAUCCACCGUUAAGAAGGGCAAGUCCAAGGCCGACGCUAAAGCCGCCGAUCAUCCCUCCGCCUCCGCUGCUGCUUCAGACGAAUUAGAUGCGGCGCUUUCUGAUGAUGAUCCCUCAUUCGAUGUUGGCACAUAUGGUCGCCCUCUCUUUACCUCCGCAUCUUCACUCUCACAGCUCACUCGCAAGGAUGCAGGGACAAUAGUUCGUUCCCCUCUUCAUCUGAUGUCAAUUGCUAUUGCUAUGUCAAAUUUGUGAACCUAUACCGUUGGCAGAGGGCAUUUGCGUUGGGAUGGUGAAAGGGGCUGAUAGCAUGACGAUGCCUGUGGGUUCAACUUUAUAUAUGACUUAAUUGAUACUAUCGUUUGUGAAAGAUAUUCCUGUGCUCAUUGCUAUUGAUCAAGUGAGGCACAAAUCUACAUCUACCCUUCUUUUGAUUUCUAAUAAAUGACAACUGGUUUACGUUCAGUGAGUAUGAAGAACCAGUGACUGUUCGUUCUACUCCGCCAAUACGUUGCUACAGAACUUGCAAUGGUAAAAGCUUUUAUUUUAGGUCUAUGAUGAUGGAGGAUGACAUGAUGGUUGGUGGUUUAUCCCCUUCAACUGCUGUAGGAAAGUUGCUUCAAGACUUGCCAGAUGUUCCUCUAGUUGCACGUCUUAAUUUCCCUUGCUAUAGUCUUGAUGAAGCGGCUUCUGUUUUCCAAUUUCCAGUACUACCACAGCCCGGUGUCCACCUCCUUUUGUGGCUCAAUGUCUUCACUGACACAUUGCUCGGUGUCUGGCCCUGAUACCAUUUGUAACCGUUCAAGCCCACCACCGUCUGCUAUGGAGAAGUUUCCACAUCUUUAUAAAAAAAAAUGUUUCGUUUUUCUCUCCAACCGAUGUGGAAUCUCACAAGAACAAUGGACAAAACAAGGGACCGUGAUUUAUCUCCAUGUGCAUAUUGUCAACUUACUGUCGAUGAGGUGACCCAAGCGCUCGCCUACGGUGAGAGGCGAAGCGACCUGAGGCCUUUGUCGCCUUGUAACCAGCUGGGGCGAGCGACUUCAAUCAGGCACUUGCCCCACUGCAGGCAGUGCGAGGCGUUCAGCCCCUUGUGAUCAUGCAAAAAUCAAAACAGAAAAAAUAAAGCUUCUCCGUGACUCGAUUAUUAUUGGAACGAGUAUUGUUCUUGUACGGCUUUGACAUUUUAUGUAAAUAUGUUUACAUAAACUUAUGAUCUUUAUAUCUUUAUUUAUUACGUCUCGCUUCGCUCAGGUGUCACUUUGAUGAGUCAAUCAAGGUGCACUAUCAACUUUGAAAAAACUGGUACAAUUAUGUCCCGGAGUUCUAAAGAUUCACAUAACCUAUCUUUACGUGAUAAUAUUUGAUACA
Cucurbita pepo subsp. pepo (vegetable marrow) is the source of this 1622-nucleotide non-coding RNA. The record is from RefSeq and is a predicted model, not a curated record. Lineage: Eukaryota; Viridiplantae; Streptophyta; Magnoliopsida; Cucurbitales; Cucurbitaceae.